This 77-nucleotide transfer RNA is filed under the name Alphaproteobacteria bacterium. Its description in RNAcentral is "tRNA-Arg". It matches the Rfam family "tRNA". From Rfam's summary of the family: Transfer RNA (tRNA) molecules are approximately 80 nucleotides in length. Their secondary structure includes four short double-helical elements and three loops (D, anti-codon, and T loops). Lineage: Bacteria; Pseudomonadati; Pseudomonadota; Alphaproteobacteria. The record is from RNAcentral. RNAcentral also lists the same sequence under 11 other names.
GCGCCCGUAGCUCAGCUGGAUAGAGCGAACGCCUCCGGAGCGUUAGGUCGGGAGUUCGAAUCUCUCCGGGCGCACCA